Camellia sinensis is the source of this 649-nucleotide long non-coding RNA. RefSeq lists it as uncharacterized. Lineage: Eukaryota; Viridiplantae; Streptophyta; Magnoliopsida; Ericales; Theaceae. The record is from RefSeq and is a predicted model, not a curated record.
ACUGUAACAUAUGUCUAAAAGUUGUUUGUUAGCCUUCACAUAUUCUGUGACAGAGUCACUCCUAUAGGUCCUUCCAUGCUUUGGAAUCAGCAAUAUUAUUACCCCCCACCCCUCUCUCCUCUCUCUCUCUCUCUCUCUCUCUCUCUCUCUACACACACAUACACUAUUGGCUUCUUGAGCUUUCUGGGUUUUGAACAAUGGAUGAAAAGAAGAGAGAGAUUGAUGGGGACACUGGUGGGAAGACAGAAAAGACAAAGGGAGUGGGUGAAGAAGAUGGUGAUGAAGCUAUGAAGAAGUGUUUGGAGGAAAACAAAGGGGACAACGCCAAGUGCAAGUCAAUGGUUGAAUCAUUCAAGUCUUCUUCUCCUCCUCCUCCUACAAAUAAACCCAUUACACCAUUGAGGCUUAGGAGUGGUUCUUUGACUGAUGUUUGAACUUCUUACAUCAUUUUAAUUUUGGGGUUUUUUUUUUUUUUUUUUAAUUUUCUUUUAGGGUUGUAUUUGAGUCAUUUGUGGUAUAACCCAGUUCUUGAAUAUCAUUGUGUGAAGUGUCAUAUUUUAGAGUUACUAUUAUCUUAGUUGGGUAAAAUGUAAUUUUAUUUUUAUUUCUUAAUAUGAGAAUAGUAUUUUAAUGCAGGAAUUUCAAUACA